GACGAACGCUGGCGGCGUGCUUAACACAUGCAAGUCGAACGGAAAGGCCCUGCUUUUGUGGGGUGCUCGAGUGGCGAACGGGUGAGUAACACGUGAGUAACCUGCCCUUGACUUUGGGAUAACUUCAGGAAACUGGGGCUAAUACCGGAUAGGAGCUCCUGCUGCAUGGUGGGGGUUGGAAAGUUUCGGCGGUUGGGGAUGGACUCGCGGCUUAUCAUCUUGUUGGUGGGGUAGUGGCUUACCAAGUCUUUGACGGGUAGCCGGCCUGAGAGGGUGACCGGCCACAUUGGGACUGAGAUACGGCCCAGACUCCUACGGGAGGCAGCAGUGGGGAAUAUUGCACAAUGGGCGGAAGCCUGAUGCAGCAACGCCGCGUGCGGGAUGACGGCCUUCGGGUUGUAAACCGCUUUCGCCUGUGACGAAGCGUGAGUGACGGUAAUGGGUAAAGAAGCACCGGCUAACUACGUG
Molecule: ribosomal RNA, 468 nt
Filed under: uncultured bacterium
Lineage: Bacteria
Description: partial 16S ribosomal RNA
Rfam family: Bacterial small subunit ribosomal RNA
Source: RNAcentral